RNAcentral lists this long non-coding RNA (888 nucleotides) under Struthio camelus australis. RNAcentral describes it as "lncRNA (ENSSCUG00000011109.1)". The record is from RNAcentral. Lineage: Eukaryota; Metazoa; Chordata; Aves; Struthioniformes; Struthionidae.
AUGAUGAAACAAAGGGCUGGGCAAAUAGCAUUUGACAAACGUAAUGGAGUCCACACAGCGGUGGUCCUUGUCUUCAUUGCUGCUCAUGACUUCUCUCCUUUUUGGACUUCUGGGACUAAACAGAGGUCCUGUUUCCAUGAGCCAGAGAAGCCUUGGUGUCAAAUAACGAAGGGAGCGGAGACGCAGAAGGAGCUGGCUCACAGGCCUUGGCCAAAACCUUACGCCAGUCGUACAAACACACACAGAGAAGUCACCUGUGUUGGUUGUCAGCAGAUGAGCUCCCUCCAGUCCUCCUGGUUUUUGGAUGUACUUCCAGAACUGCGUUUGAAUCUUCCUUCUGACUUGUGCUGAAGGCCAUCUCUUGUUUAUUCAUUGAGGAAGAUGGAGAAUCGGGGACAGCUGGAUAUGGUGCUAGCCAGACUAAAAGCUAGCACUUGACUGCUGUUGCUUAUAAACUGUGGUGCUGACCACCUGGACGGGCUGCCAGGAUAACGGAUGGCCAUGGAUUGUCCCUCAAGAAAGGUUCCUACUGAGAUUCUGUGGUAAAAGCUUAAUAGAUGACAAACGGAUGCACAGAGAAAUCUGUGUUAAAAUGCAGUGAUGCAACCCACGUACUGGGUGCUGACAAACUGACCACAUUCAUAAAACAAUUAUUAGAUUCCUGUAGAUGUACAUGUGAGGUGUUUCUAUUUUUGUUCACUAGCUUUUAAUUGUAUGCGUCAAACUGUCAGGCUGAAUAGACACGUGAAACCAUGAUGAUUCUCCAAACUGCAUGCACGUUUGGAGUCCCCAGGCUCCUCCAGAAAUCUGAGAGAAUGUGAUCUUUUCUACCUCUAGUUUCAGUAUUGACACAAUAAAUCUGUUCCCGUUUCUUCUUCCUGGCUCUAU